GAAAUGCGAUAAGUAGUGUGAAUUGCAGAAUUCAGUGAAUCAUCGAAUCUUUGAACGCACAUUGUGCCCCUCGGUAUUCCGUGGGGCAUGCCUGUUCGAGCGUCAUCUACACCCUCAAGCUCUGCUUGGUGUUGGGCGUCUGUCCCGCCUCCGCGCGCGGACUCGCCCCAAAUGCAUUGGCAGCGGUUCCUUGCCCCCCUCUUUGCGCAGCACAUUGCCAUUCGAGGCGGCGGCGGCCCGCGUCCAACAAGCUCAACCCCCCCGUCUUUGACCUCGGAUCAGGUAGGGAUACCCGCUGAACUUAAGC
This 307-nucleotide unclassified non-coding RNA is filed under the name plant metagenome. Its description in RNAcentral is "partial contains 5.8S ribosomal RNA, internal transcribed spacer 2, and large subunit ribosomal RNA". The stretch from base 1 to 105 matches the Rfam family "5.8S ribosomal RNA", at positions 50 to 154 of the family's 154-position model. The record is from RNAcentral.